GAUGAACGCUGGCGGCGUGCCUAAUACAUGCAAGUCGAGCGAACGGACGAGAAGCUUGCUUCUCUGAUGUUAGCGGCGGACGGGUGAGUAACACGUGGAUAACCUACCUAUAAGACUGGGAUAACUUCGGGAAACCGGAGCUAAUACCGGAUAAUAUUUUGAACCGCAUGGUUCAAAAGUGAAAGACGGUCUUGCUGUCACUUAUAGAUGGAUCCGCGCUGCAUUAGCUAGUUGGUAAGGUAACGGCUUACCAAGGCAACGAUGCAUAGCCGACCUGAGAGAGUGAUCGGCCACACUGGAACUGAGACACGGUCCAGACUGCUACGGGAGGCAGCAGUAGGGAAUCUUCCGCAAUGGGAGAAAGCCUGACGGAGCAACGCCGCGUGAGUGAUGAAGGUAUUCGGAUCGGAAAACUCUGUUAUUAGGGAAGAACAUAUGUGUAAGUAACUGUGCAAAUCUUGACGGUACCUAAUCAGAAAGCCACGGCUAACUACGUG
Molecule: ribosomal RNA, 497 nt
Filed under: uncultured bacterium
Lineage: Bacteria
Description: partial 16S ribosomal RNA
Rfam family: Bacterial small subunit ribosomal RNA
Source: RNAcentral